AUGAGUUUAACUCAUCAUCACGAAUGGAGCGUUCGAUGGGACAACAAGAAGCAAAUAAGGAAUGGUAAGGCAGAGGAAAAUGCAAAUGCAUCUGAAUUUCCUUCUAAUGUUGUGCAAGAUACAUGGAAUAAAAGAGUAGCAGCAAUGGAAAAACUAGCUCAAUGUAAGGAGGAACAAUUAGAGUUUAAGGCAAUGCAAUUCAUCUUGUCAAACACUUCUACGAGGAAUGAUAGUCAACGGGAUGUUCAUGAAAAAUAUUGUAAUAAGCUGAAAGAAAAAUAUGGACUUUAG
Vicia faba (fava bean) is the source of this 291-nucleotide non-coding RNA. NCBI's taxonomy places the organism in Eukaryota, Viridiplantae, Streptophyta, Magnoliopsida, Fabales, Fabaceae. The record is from the annotation of a GenBank genome assembly.